This 1249-nucleotide ribosomal RNA is filed under the name metagenome. RNAcentral describes it as "bacterial SSU rRNA". It matches the Rfam family "Bacterial small subunit ribosomal RNA", at positions 247 to 1516 of the family's 1533-position model. The record is from RNAcentral.
AGUUGGUGAGGUAACGGCUCACCAAGGCGACGAUGCGUAGCCGACCUGAGAGGGUGAUCGGCCACAUUGGGACUGAGACACGGCCCAGACUCCUACGGGAGGCAGCAGUGGGGAACAUUGCACAAUGGGGGAAACCCUGAUGCAGCAACGCCGCGUGAGUGAUGACGGCCUUCGGGUUGUAAAGCUCUGUCUUCAGGGACGAUAAUGACGGUACCUGAGGAGGAAGCCACGGCUAACUACGUGCCAGCAGCCGCGGUAAUACGUAGGUGGCAAGCGUUGUCCGGAUUUACUGGGCGUAAAGGGAGCGUAGGCGGACUUUUAAGUGAGAUGUGAAAUACCCGUGCUCAACUUGGGUGCUGCAUCUCAAACUGGAAGUCUAGAGUGCAGGAGAGGAGAAUGGAAUUCCUUGUGUAGCGGUGAGAUGCGUAGAGAUUAGGAAGAACACCAGUGGCGAAGGCGAUUCUCUGGACUGUAACUGACGCUGAGGCUCGAAAGCGUGGGGAGCAAACAGGAUUAGAUACCCUGGUAGUCCACGCCGUAACCGAUGAAUACUAGGUGUAGGGGUUGUCAUGACCUCUGUGCCGCCGCUAACGCAUUAAGUAUUCCGCCUGGGGAGUACGGUCGCAAGAUUAAAACUCAGAGGAAUUGACGGGGGCCCGCACAAGCAGCGGAGCAUGUGGUUUAAUUCGAAGCAACGCGAAGAACCUUACCUAGACUUGACAUCUCCUGCAUUACCCUUAAUCGGGGAAGUUCCUUCGGGGACAGGAAGACAGGUGGUGCAUGGUUGUCGUCAGCUCGUGUCGUGAGAUGUUGGGUUAAGUCCCGCAACGAGCGCAACCCUUAUUGUUAGUUGCUUCCAUUUAGUUGAGCACUCUAGCGAGACUGCCCGGGUUAACCGGGAGGAAGGUGGGGAUGACGUCAAAUCAUCAUGCCCCUUAUGUCUAGGGCUACACACGUGCUACAAUGGCAAGUACAAAGAGACGCAAUACCGCGAGGUGGAGCAAAACUCAAAAACUUGUCUCAGUUCGGAUUGUAGGCUGAAACUCGCCUACAUGAAGCUGGAGUUGCUAGUAAUCGCGAAUCAGCAUGUCGCGGUGAAUACGUUCCCGGGCCUUGUACACACCGCCCGUCACCAUGAGAGUUGGCAAUACCCAAAGUGCGUGAUCUAACUCGAAAGAGAGGAAGCGCCCUAAGGUAGGGUCAGCGAUUGGGGUGAAGUCGGAACAAGGUAGCCGUAGGAGAACCUGCG